RNAcentral lists this ribosomal RNA (320 nucleotides) under uncultured bacterium. RNAcentral describes it as "bacterial SSU rRNA". It matches the Rfam family "Bacterial small subunit ribosomal RNA", at positions 29 to 334 of the family's 1533-position model. The record is from RNAcentral.
AACGAACGUUGGCGGCGCGCCUAACACAUGCAAGUCGAGCGCGAAAAGUCUUCGGACUGAGUAGAGCGGCGCACGGGUGAGUAACACGUGAGUAACCUACCCUUGGAUCUGGAAUAACACCUCGAAAGAGAUGCUAAUGCCGGAUAAGACCACAGAGCCUUUGGGCUCAGUGAGAAAAGCUGGGGACGAGAAAUCGCCUGGCAUCUGAGGAUGGGCUCGCGGCCUAUCAGCUAGUUGGCGGGGUAACGGCCCACCAAGGCUAAGACGGGUAGCUGGUCUGAGAGGAUGAUCAGUCACACUGGAACUGAGACACGGUCCAG